Molecule: long non-coding RNA, 1512 nt
Organism: Rosa rugosa (rugosa rose)
Lineage: Eukaryota; Viridiplantae; Streptophyta; Magnoliopsida; Rosales; Rosaceae
Exons: 5
Source: RefSeq, a predicted model, not a curated record
UACUGUUUUCUGUCAAAGCUAUUUUCUAUCACUGCGAUCGUCGAUCUUCUUUCUUCUGUAUCACUCCCUUCCAUUUCUCUCUCAAAUCGCUGUUAAAUUUCAUCUUUCUCCGGCUCAGGCCAAAUUCUUUCCCCAGUAUAAGCAAAAUUCCCAACUCUUUCUGUCUUCGGGAAGCCUUUGUCAAGACUCAAGAUCGACAUUUACUGUUACGCAGUAUCAGACUCAGCAGCAGUAAUUGGUCGGUGUCGCCGCCGCCGCCGCCAAUCUUCUCAGAGAUUGAAGAAAAUAACCUUAGGAUUGUUGAAUUUUGUACCCGUUUGAGAUCAAAUUUCAGUCUUUUUUUUUAUUCUUCUAACUGCAGGCACGAUAUCGUCAUAUUGAUUUUGCUCCAGUCUAUGGCAAUGAGAAUGAGGUAUCAAUUUAAUUGUGAAAGAAAGCUUUGGAGGAGAACAUAAUUGUGUAUCUGGAAACUGGUUGUGGAAAGACCUAAAUAGCCGUGUUGCUUAUGUAUGAACCAGUUGAUACUCAAACCUCAGAAGAACAUAUGUGUGCUAAAUCCUGAAGAUCUUUGUGGUAUAUAUGGAUCAAAUUGCUCCCAAUGGAUUAUUGCAAUGGAGUAUUAGAAAGAAUGUGGCUAUCAUGAAGCCUCAUGAAGCAGCCAAAUUAGUUGCAGAAUGAGAUUUUUCAUGUAAAAGGACACUCCCCUGAACUGAAAGAGUAAGCCAAUCACCCAAUCUUAUCUUAGACUGAAGCAUUUUCUUUUUGGUAAUCGCCUUUAUAAAGUAAAAUGUCCACAAAUCUACUUCAAAUUUCAUGUUAUUCUUAGACCUGCAAGAUAUCGUGAGUCUCCAAGCUGAUAAACACUCUUUAUCUUUCUUCAUGAUUGUCUUUCAAACUUCGAGUAUCGUAAACCUCAAAUUAAUUGAUUACUUUUGCAACUUAUUUAGAAAGUCUGGUUAGACUGCUUAUUUCACUUUUGUUGUUAUUGAUAAAUGUUGAGUUUGCAAUACACCUGUUACAAGUUUUUUGUCGUUUAUAUUGCCGGGCAUACCAUUGGAAGCAUGGUAGGAAAUGUCACGGAAUUUUCUGGCUUCAGCCAUCCGAGACAAGUUCGUCUUAGCAGGAGUACAACAUUUCUUUGAUUCUGUUGGAAAGUCAAUCUCCAAUGAGAGUUUCGAGGCUUGAUGGAAUAGAGCCGUAGAGAGCAACAGAGAGAGCUAAGGAAUGUUGCUUAACCAAAACAGAGCUUGCAGCGAUGGAGACAGAAACGACGGCGUGCAGCGAUGGAGACAGAAACGACGGCGAUAGAGAUAGUAUUGUUACGAGUUAUGAACUCAUCAAUGUCUUCUCUUUUGUAGCGCUUAAUUACAAUUUGGGUUUGAUAUUUCCCAGAUCUAAGUUGAAUAAAUAUUUCUCAACGGUGAUUGUUUCGACUGUUUUAUGAAUAUGUUGGUUAAAUGUGUAUUUUUCAAGACACACCUUAUUAAGAUUUGAAGAGAUUGAGGAAAACUU